This 580-nucleotide ribosomal RNA is filed under the name Hypocreales sp. NRRL 46126. RNAcentral describes it as "eukaryotic LSU rRNA". It matches the Rfam family "Eukaryotic large subunit ribosomal RNA", at positions 1 to 592 of the family's 3401-position model. Lineage: Eukaryota; Fungi; Ascomycota; Sordariomycetes; Hypocreales. The record is from RNAcentral.
UUGACCUCGAAUCAGGUAGGAAUACCCGCUGAACUUAAGCAUAUCAAUAAGCGGAGGAAAAGAAACCAACAGGGAUUGCCCCAGUAACGGCGAGUGAAGCGGCAACAGCUCAAAUUUGAAAUCUGGCCCUAGGCCCGAGUUGUAAUUUGUAGAGGAUGCUUUUGGCGACGUGCCUUCCGAGUUCCCUGGAACGGGACGCCAUAGAGGGUGAGAGCCCCGUACGGUCGUGCACCUAGCCUUUGUAAAGCUCCUUCGACGAGUCGAGUAGUUUGGGAAUGCUGCUCUAAAUGGGAGGUAUACGUCUUCUAAAGCUAAAUACCGGCCAGAGACCGAUAGCGCACAAGUAGAGUGAUCGAAAGAUGAAAAGCACUUUGAAAAGAGGGUUAAAUAGUACGUGAAAUUGCUAAAAGGGAAGCACUUAUGACCAGACUUGGGCCCGGUUAAUCAUCCAGCGUUCUCGCUGGUGCACUUGGCCGGCCCAGGCCAGCAUCAGUUCGCGUCGGGGGAUAAAGGUUUCGGGAAUGUGGCUCCUCCGGGAGUGUUAUAGCCCGUUGCGUAAUACCCUGGUGCGGACUGAGGU